RNAcentral lists this ribosomal RNA (739 nucleotides) under Rothia mucilaginosa. RNAcentral's name for it is "bacterial SSU rRNA". It matches the Rfam family "Bacterial small subunit ribosomal RNA", at positions 28 to 776 of the family's 1533-position model. Lineage: Bacteria; Bacillati; Actinomycetota; Actinomycetes; Micrococcales; Micrococcaceae. The record is from RNAcentral.
GACGAACGCUGGCGGCGUGCUUAACACAUGCAAGUCGAACGAUGAAGCCUAGCUUGCUAGGUGGAUUAGUGGCGAACGGGUGAGUAAUACGUGAGUAACCUACCUUUAACUCUGGGAUAAGCCCGGGAAACUGGGUCUAAUACCGGAUACGACCAAUCUCCGCAUGGGGUGUUGGUGGAAAGCGUUAUGUAGUGGUUAUAGAUGGGCUCACGGCCUAUCAGCUUGUUGGUGAGGUAACGGCUCACCAAGGCGACGACGGGUAGCCGGCCUGAGAGGGUGACCGGCCACACUGGGACUGAGACACGGCCCAGACUCCUACGGGAGGCAGCAGUGGGGAAUAUUGCACAAUGGGCGCAAGCCUGAUGCAGCGACGCCGCGUGAGGGAUGACGGCCUUCGGGUUGUAAACCUCUGUUAGCAGGGAAGAAGAGAGAUUGACGGUACCUGCAGAGAAAGCGCCGGCUAACUACGUGCCAGCAGCCGCGGUAAUACGUAGGUCCCGAGCGUUAUCCGGAUUUAUUGGGCGUAAAGCGAGCGCAGGCGGUUAGAUAAGUCUGAAGUUAAAGGCUGUGGCUUAACCAUAGUACGCUUUGGAAACUGUUUAACUUGAGUGCAAGAGGGGAGAGUGGAAUUCCAUGUGUAGCGGUGAAAUGCGUAGAUAUAUGGAGGAACACCGGUGGCGAAAGCGGCUCUCUGGCUUGUAACUGACGCUGAGGCUCGAAAGCGUGGGGAGCAAACAGG